Molecule: ribosomal RNA, 386 nt
Filed under: Tremella cladoniae
Lineage: Eukaryota; Fungi; Basidiomycota; Tremellomycetes; Tremellales; Tremellaceae
Description: partial large subunit ribosomal RNA
Rfam family: Eukaryotic large subunit ribosomal RNA
Source: RNAcentral
GACCUCAAAUCAGGUAGGGCUACCCGCUGAACUUAAGCAUAUCAAUAAGCGGAGGAAAAGAAACUAACAAGGAUUCCCCUAGUAACGGCGAGUGAACCGGGAAGAGCUCAAAUUUGUAAUCUGGCGUGCUCUGUGCGUCCGAGUUGUAAUCUAUAGAAGCGUUUUCUGUGCCGGACCGUGUCCAAGUUCCUUGGAAUAGGAUAUCAUAGAGGGUGACAAUCCCGUCCUUGACACGAUUACCGGUGCUAUGUGAUACACUUUCUACGAGUCGAGUUGUUUGGGAAUGCAGCUCAAAAUGGGUGGUGAGUUCCAUCUAAAGCUAAAUAUUGGUGAGAGACCGAUAGCGAACAAGUACCGUGAGGGAAAGAUGAAAAGCACUUUGGAAA